RNAcentral lists this ribosomal RNA (749 nucleotides) under uncultured Capnocytophaga sp. RNAcentral describes it as "bacterial SSU rRNA". It matches the Rfam family "Bacterial small subunit ribosomal RNA", at positions 28 to 776 of the family's 1533-position model. The record is from RNAcentral. Lineage: Bacteria; Pseudomonadati; Bacteroidota; Flavobacteriia; Flavobacteriales; Flavobacteriaceae.
GAUGAACGCUAGCGGCAGGCCUAACACAUGCAAGUCGAGGGAGAGGUUAUCUUCGGGUAACCAAAACCGGCGCACGGGUGCGUAACGCGUAUACAAUCUGCCUUUCACAUAGGGAUAGCCCGAAGAAAUUUGGAUUAAUACCUAAUGGUAUAUAAGAGCGGCAUCGUUUUUAUAUUAAAGCUACGGUGGUGAAAGAUGAGUAUGCGUUCUAUUAGCUAGUUGGAGAGGUAACGGCUCCCCAAGGCGACGAUAGAUAGGGGUUCUGAGAGGGAUGUCCCCCACACUGGUACUGAGAUACGGACCAGACUCCUACGGGAGGCAGCAGUGAGGAAUAUUGGACAAUGGGCGGAAGACUGAUCCAGCCAUGCCGCGUGCAGGAUGAAGGUCCUAUGGAUUGUAAACUGCUUUUGUAAGGGAAGAAUAAGGGGUACGUGUACUUUGAUGACGGUACCUUACGAAUAAGCAUCGGCUAACUCCGUGCCAGCAGCCGCGGUAAUACGGAGGAUGCGAGCGUUAUCCGGAAUCAUUGGGUUUAAAGGGUCCGUAGGCGGGCUGAUAAGUCAGAGGUGAAAGCGCUUAGCUCAACUAAGCAACUGCCUUUGAAACUGUCAGUCUUGAAUGAUUGUGAAGUAGUUGGAAUGUGUAGUGUAGCGGUGAAAUGCUUAGAUAUUACACAGAACACCGAUAGCGAAGGCAUAUUACUAACAAUUUAUUGACGCUGAUGGACGAAAGCGUGGGGAGCGAACAGG